Molecule: non-coding RNA, 72 nt
Filed under: human gut metagenome
Also listed under: 1 other name
Description: S10-Clostridia ribosomal protein leader
Rfam family: S10-Clostridia ribosomal protein leader
Source: RNAcentral
GCGAUGAAGCGGGAGGUUGCGGCCUGUGUGGCCGGUUUUUCCGCAGAGUAUGUCCGAUUUCAAACCGGGCGA